GACAGGAUGGCCGAGUGGUUAAGGCGGCAGUUUUGAAUUAUUGAAUGUUUCUGAGAUUUGUGUUUCAGAUUACAAUUAGCUGCUUCACUUUGUGAGCGUGAGUUCAAACCUCACUCCUGUCG
This 122-nucleotide transfer RNA is filed under the name Phakopsora pachyrhizi. RNAcentral describes it as "tRNA-Ser". It matches the Rfam family "tRNA". From Rfam's summary of the family: Transfer RNA (tRNA) molecules are approximately 80 nucleotides in length. Their secondary structure includes four short double-helical elements and three loops (D, anti-codon, and T loops). Further hydrogen bonds mediate the characteristic L-shaped molecular structure. tRNAs have two regions of fundamental functional importance: the anti-codon, which is responsible for specific mRNA codon recognition, and the 3' end, to which the tRNAs corresponding amino acid is attached (by aminoacyl-tRNA synthetases). tRNAs cope with the degeneracy of the genetic code in two manners: having more than one tRNA (with a specific anti-codon) for a particular amino acid; and 'wobble' base-pairing, i.e. permitting non-standard base-pairing at the 3rd anti-codon position. The record is from RNAcentral. Lineage: Eukaryota; Fungi; Basidiomycota; Pucciniomycetes; Pucciniales; Phakopsoraceae.